UUGUUGCUGUUCUUCCGGAAUUUACACUAGAAGAAGAAUAGUGUCCUGUCGUGUCUUUGAGGUCUAAGGUUUGUUUGUAUCUUCAGUGUUUUCCUCUGUGUCCUUCUGUCCGUCUGUGUCCGGUGAUCAUUAAAAACCUUGAAUGAAAGCUCUUCCUUGUGGGAAUUCACAAAACCAGACAUGUUUCAUAGAAGAAUACCCUUCACACAGCUGGCCUUUGCCACGCUGCUUGGAGUUGCUGGUGGUGUUUACAUCUACAGACCUUAUUUUGAGCUGAAGCCCUCAGGACAGAAGAACCAGGAUGUACCAAAGAAACACAAUGAAACAGACUGAAAUAACUUAUCACUCCAAGGAAAUGCUUCACAGAAAGAACAACAAAAUACUGCUGGACUGUCGGAGCAGGGUUCCUUAAGAACAAUCCCCAUAUAGACUGAUUCAGGCUUCUUUGGGGUUCCUUGUAUGAUUGUUAAUAUUCACAAUAAAAUAUGUAAUGAUUUUA
This is a non-coding RNA of Labrus bergylta (ballan wrasse), 499 nucleotides long. NCBI's taxonomy places the organism in Eukaryota, Metazoa, Chordata, Actinopteri, Labriformes, Labridae. The record is from RefSeq and is a predicted model, not a curated record.